This 86-nucleotide transfer RNA is filed under the name Anaerolineae bacterium CG2_30_64_16. Its description in RNAcentral is "tRNA-Leu". It matches the Rfam family "tRNA". From Rfam's summary of the family: Transfer RNA (tRNA) molecules are approximately 80 nucleotides in length. Lineage: Bacteria; Bacillati; Chloroflexota; Anaerolineae. The record is from RNAcentral.
GCCGACGUGGCGGAAUGGCAGACGCUGCAGACUUAGGAUCUGCUGCCCUUUUGGGCGUGGAGGUUCAAAUCCUCUCGUCGGCACAA